UUGUUGUUCCCCUGGAAAUCUGUUCACAAUAUGAACCCAAUGCAGGCCAGAGAAGGCAAAUGUGGGAAAUCCUUUUAGAUGCCCAUAAGAAGUUAAUGGAAACAAAAUUUUUUUUUAAAAUUUUUUGGAGACUUUUAUCCUAUUAAGGUAGUGAUAUCUAGCCUAGUAUUCAGGGGUUAAAACAAUGAAAUAGAAGGAUGAUAUGUCCAAGUAACAUUACUAAGUUCUAACCUUCUGACUGUUA
Molecule: long non-coding RNA, 244 nt
Organism: Telopea speciosissima
Lineage: Eukaryota; Viridiplantae; Streptophyta; Magnoliopsida; Proteales; Proteaceae
Exons: 2
Source: RefSeq, a predicted model, not a curated record